Molecule: ribosomal RNA, 198 nt
Filed under: uncultured bacterium
Lineage: Bacteria
Description: partial 16S ribosomal RNA
Rfam family: Bacterial small subunit ribosomal RNA
Source: RNAcentral
ACGCUCGACACCUACGGAGGCAGCAGUGGGGAAUAUUGCACAAUGGGGGAAACCCGUGAUGCAGCGACGCCGCGUGAGCGAAGAAGUAUCUCGGUAUGUAAAGCUCUAUCAGCAGGGAAGAAGAUGACGGUACCUGACUAAGAAGCACCGGCUAAAUACGUGCCAANAGCCGCGGUAAUCUGAGCGGGCUGGCAAGGC